This 425-nucleotide ribosomal RNA is filed under the name uncultured bacterium. Its description in RNAcentral is "partial 16S ribosomal RNA". It matches the Rfam family "Bacterial small subunit ribosomal RNA", at positions 354 to 796 of the family's 1533-position model. The record is from RNAcentral.
GUGGGGAAUCUUGCGCAAUGGGCGAAAGCCUGACGCAGCCAUGCCGCGUGAAUGAUGAAGGUCUUAGGAUUGUAAAAUUCUUUCACCGGGGACGAUAAUGACGGUACCCGGAGAAGAAGCUCCGGCUAACUUCGUGCCAGCAGCCGCGGUAAUACGAAGGGGGCUAGCGUUGCUCGGACUUACUGGGCGUAAAGGGCGCGUAGGCGGACAGCUUAGUCAGAGGUGAAAGCCCAGGGCUCAACCUUGGAAUUGCCUUUGAUACUGGCUGUCUUGAGUUUGGGAGAGGUGAGUGGAACUCCGAGUGUAGAGGUGAAAUUCGUAGAUAUUCGGAAGAACACCAGUGGCGAAGGCGACUCACUGGCCCAAUACUGACGCUGAGGCGCGAAAGCGUGGGGAGCAAACAGGAUUAGAUACCCCGGUAGUCC